UGCAACCUCUAUUUUACUGAAAAUCUGUGCAAGGACAAAUAUCUCAAUGGUUCGACGACCUAAUUCAGUUAAACGCCUCUCAUCACGCUCAAUUGAGUCUUUGUUAAACUCAUCUCCAGAAGUGCCAUCCUUUGUCCGGUUUUGAGGGCCUUUCUCAUCCUUUGGAGGCAAUGGCUCCAACGCAGCACUCUCAAGCAAUAACAAGACAUCAUCCACCAAAACAAACAUGUUUUUCUCCAAACGGACAAUAGGAACCAGUUGUUCCUCUGCAUCCGAAUUUUUUGCCUUACUUUUCUUGCCCACUGUCUGGCCUUCAAGGGACCUAAGCCCGCUGUACAAGGAGUCCAUGACAAGAGUAGAAGUAACCUCUUUCUCUAUGAAAAAGUUCUUGACAACCACUUUUAAAAUUGAAUCUGAUCUCUCCUUGGACAUGCGGCGCCUAGAAUUUUGGUCCAUCCCCAUCCAAAAAGUACAGAAGCUCGACCAUCGCGCUCUAUCCUCUAUCAACUUCCCAAGCUUUACUCGUCGCUCUUCUACGAAACGGCGACAUAUUUGCUCCACAUUACUCAAAUAUACUCUAACAAGCUCCCUUCGAUAUUGACGGUCAAGGCAACGGAAGGGACGGUCUGCUUUCUCCCUGAUUACUUGAACUUGAGCCUUUAUUAUGAGCGUAUCAGCAUCGACAAAACCAUCUAAAACUUUCGACAGCUCCAUAAACUUUUUCCACCCCCAAUCAUGCUCUUUCUUCCAG
RNAcentral lists this unclassified non-coding RNA (751 nucleotides) under Hevea brasiliensis (rubber tree). The record is from RNAcentral. Lineage: Eukaryota; Viridiplantae; Streptophyta; Magnoliopsida; Malpighiales; Euphorbiaceae.